UGGGGAAUAUUGGACAAUGGGCGAAAGCCUGAUCCAGCCAUGCCGCGUGUGUGAAGAAGGCCUUUUGGUUGUAAAGCACUUUAAGCGAGGAGGAGGCUACCGAGAUUAAUACUCUUGGAUAGUGGACGUUACUCGCAGAAUAAGCACCGGCUAACUCUGUGCCAGCAGCCGCGGUAAUACAGAGGGUGCGAGCGUUAAUCGGAUUUACUGGGCGUAAAGCGUGCGUAGGCGGCUUUUUAAGUCGGAUGUGAAAUCCCUGAGCUUAACUUAGGAAUUGCAUUCGAUACUGGGAAGCUAGAGUAUGGGAGAGGAUGGUAGAAUUCCAGGUGUAGCAGUGAAAUGCGUAGAGAUCUGGAGGAAUACCGAUGGCGAAGGCAGCCAUCUGGCCUAAUACUGACGCUGAGGUACGAAAGCAUGGGGAGCAAACAGG
Molecule: ribosomal RNA, 430 nt
Filed under: Caulobacter vibrioides
Lineage: Bacteria; Pseudomonadati; Pseudomonadota; Alphaproteobacteria; Caulobacterales; Caulobacteraceae
Also listed under: 1 other name
Description: partial 16S ribosomal RNA
Rfam family: Bacterial small subunit ribosomal RNA
Source: RNAcentral